Molecule: transfer RNA, 19 nt
Filed under: Timarcha nicaeensis
Lineage: Eukaryota; Metazoa; Arthropoda; Insecta; Coleoptera; Chrysomelidae
Description: partial transfer RNA-Leu
Source: RNAcentral
GAUUAAAAUUUUUUUAGAA